CUUUAGUGGGACCCAAAAACACACAGGCCAGCAAGGCGAGAGAUUUCUCCGGUCGAGCAAAGGGCAGUUCCCAUAACACCCAGAGUGAGCUUUCCUGAAGCCGGUUUGCAGACUAAGGCCAGCAAGGUAGGCAAGAGCUGGUUGAGCAAAGGGGCGGUGCCCAGAACACCCACAGAGAGCUUUCCUGACAGCAAUAUGCAAUUGAUAUCUCCUCAGAUUCCAAGGGAAAAACAUGUGCCGUCGUUCGGUAUUGUUGCAUAUAUAUCUCCAUGUAGUUCGAGAAGUGUGUUUAGUGAAUAGGUGCUGAUGUGUCUCACCAUGAACAUUAUAAAAUUUAAUAAACCCCCCGUAGAUCGAUCAUGUAAACUAGCAAACAAAUAUGAUUUCUCAACAGUCCUUAUAAGUGUCUCUUCAUCUUGGUCAGUAAAGGACUUCCAAUGCAUAGUUUGCAAGUACAGACCCUGAACCUACGACAUGGUAGGCCCAGCUUUUCAAGGUAUAAUGAGGCGUAUCUGCUAAGGGACCAUCAACGUGGAAAAUCUCUUGUCUAAGUCCUUUAGCAAUGAUUAUUGAACAUGUUUAAAAAAGGAGGAUUUCUUUUCGUUACUGAUGGACGCCGCACAAAAUCUUUAAAAAAUGAUGAAAGAAAAAUCAUUUGUGAUAAUGUCAUAAAACGAUAGGCCAUCUCUGGAAACGUGUGCUAGAGUGUGAAUUGAGUCGUUCUGCCAGCUGGAUCGGUAAAAACGAUAGGCCGUCUCUGGAAACGUGUGAUAGAGUGUGAAUUGAGU
This 788-nucleotide small RNA is filed under the name Malus domestica (apple). RNAcentral's name for it is "sRNA MD12G0057700". The record is from RNAcentral. Lineage: Eukaryota; Viridiplantae; Streptophyta; Magnoliopsida; Rosales; Rosaceae.